GUAAACAGAAAAUUAUUUCAUCUGAUCCUCGCAUCAGAGUUAUGACCAAAUGGCUUAUUACAGUACGAGAAUUUAAUGGAAGUUCUACAUCCAUUUCUUCCAAAUUAUGGCUACAUCUACAACUCUAACAAUAACAAUCCACUAUAAUCCUACUUAAUGGGGUCUGGGGAGGGUAGUGUGUACGCAGACCUUACCCCUACACUUGGGUAGAGAGGCCUGUUUCCAAAUAGACCCCCGACAUCCUUCCCUCCAAGAACUUCCCACCUUGCUUUUGGGGAG
This 279-nucleotide long non-coding RNA is filed under the name Nicotiana benthamiana. RNAcentral's name for it is "long non-coding RNA (NBEN_LNC002559)". Lineage: Eukaryota; Viridiplantae; Streptophyta; Magnoliopsida; Solanales; Solanaceae. The record is from RNAcentral.